This 253-nucleotide ribosomal RNA is filed under the name uncultured bacterium. RNAcentral's name for it is "partial 16S ribosomal RNA". It matches the Rfam family "Bacterial small subunit ribosomal RNA", at positions 524 to 776 of the family's 1533-position model. The record is from RNAcentral.
GACGAAGGGGGCUAGCGUUGUUCGGAAUUACUGGGCGUAAAGCGCGUGUAGGCGGUUGCCCAAGUCGGGUGUGAAAGCCUUGAGCUCAACUCAAGAAAUGCACUCGGUACUGGGUGACUAGAGGACCGGAGAGGAUAGUGGAAUUCCCAGUGUAGUGGUGAAAUACGUAGAGAUUGGGAAGAACACCAGUGGCGAGGGCGGCUAUCUGGACGGUUUCUGACGCUAAGACGCGAAAGCGUGGGGAGCAAACAGG